This is an RNA transcript of Zophobas morio, 848 nucleotides long. It is a transcript of the gene named DNA-directed RNA polymerase II subunit RPB3-like, with no coding region annotated. NCBI's taxonomy places the organism in Eukaryota, Metazoa, Arthropoda, Insecta, Coleoptera, Tenebrionidae. The transcript is spliced from 9 exons. The record is from RefSeq and is a predicted model, not a curated record.
AUUCUUGAGAAUAUUUAAUUUUAUCUUCCAUGCCAAAGCCAAAGUUUGAAAUAACUUUUUUAGAUUAUGAAAACUGUAAAUUCAAGUUCAAGAAUACUAACUUAGCUAUGGCCAAUUCUCUGAGGCGUGUUAUGCUCUCUGAAGUAGCAACCAUGGCCAUUGAUCUUGUUGAAAUUGAAAUCAACUCUUCCGUUUUAAUAGACGAGUUUAUUGCUCAUCGUCUCGGUUUAAUACCGCUAGUUAGUACGUUUGUGGACAAAAUUAACUACAACAGAGAAUGCACUUGUGUUUCUUAUUGUGAUCAGUGCGCGGUUGUUUUUAAUUUGGAUGUCGAAGCAGAAGAAGACGAGGAAAGGAAAAUUACAAGCCGAGAUUUAGUUUCCCACAACGAUGAAGUAGUCCCCGUGAGUAAUAAUUUAAAUGAAGACGAGUUUGACGAGCAAGACGACAUUCUUAUCGUUAAAAUAAAAAACGGCCAGCGCUUAAAACUUCGCGCCAUUGCAAAAAAAGGCAUUGGUAAAGAGCACGCCAAGUGGUGUCCGACAGCAGCCAUUGGCUUUGAGUACGAUCCCGACAACAUUGCAAGGCAUACGACCUAUCCUGUGCCUGAUGAAUGGCCUAAAAGUGAGAAUUCUGAGUUGCCUGAUACCGCUUGUGAAAUAGGUUUGAAAUAACAUGUGCUAUGACAUGCGAUAAGAAGCACGUGUAGAAUCAUGAAUCACAGAACCAGAAGUCUCGUGAUUUACCAAGUGAUUUAUAGAGUUAAAUUCUGCAGUUAUGUUAUGGCAUUCCUUUUUACUCAAGGACCGUACGACCCCAAUUAUGUAAUCGAUUCGUUUUACUUCGAC